UACGGAGGGAGCUAGCGUUGUUCGGAAUUACUGGGCGUAAAGCGCACGUAGGCGGCUACUCAAGUCAGAGGUGAAAGCCCAGGGCUCAACCCUGGAACUGCCUUUGAAACUAGGUAGCUAGAAUCUUGGAGAGGCCAGUGGAAUUCCGAGUGUAGAGGUGAAAUUCGUAGAUAUUCGGAAGAACACCAGUGGCGAAGGCGACUGACUGGACAAGUAUUGACGCUGAGGUGCGAAAGCGUGGGGAGCAAACAGG
Molecule: ribosomal RNA, 253 nt
Filed under: uncultured bacterium
Lineage: Bacteria
Description: partial 16S ribosomal RNA
Rfam family: Bacterial small subunit ribosomal RNA
Source: RNAcentral